This is a non-coding RNA of Alligator mississippiensis (American alligator), 492 nucleotides long. The record is from the annotation of a RefSeq genome assembly. NCBI's taxonomy places the organism in Eukaryota, Metazoa, Chordata, Crocodylia, Alligatoridae.
UGUCUGCGGCUGCAGAAAGAGGAAGAUUUUUGUCUCCGGUUUUCUCGCGGGCGGAGUAAAAGUUCCGCUCGGUGCAGAGACUCCGAGAUCCUCCCCGCCAGGAUGGGCGCAGCGCCGGGCUCCGUCCUUGUGCUGCUGGCGGUCCUGAAGCAGGCGAAUGCAAACUCGGUCUCGCAGUCUGCCGGCACUGUGACUGUCCGGGAAGGGGACUCCGUAUUCAUCAACUGCACCUAUAGCUUGACUGGGACCCCAUACCUCUUCUGGUACGUCCAGUUCCCAAACGAAGCCCCUCGCCUCCUGCUGACCCAGUACGAGGCACAGGACGAGGAGGAUGAGAAACGCCGGCGCGGGUUCUCUGCUGAUUUACAGAAAGACUCGUCGUCCUUCCACCUGAGGAAAACCUCCAGCCAAGCGAGCGACUCUGCCGUCUAUUACUGCGCGCUGAGAGACACAGUGAGCCCUGCCGGCGGGGAGCUGUGCAAAAACCCCUGA